UCGUGCUAGACGGGGAGCUAGCGGUGCCCUGUACCCGCAAUCCGCUAUAGCGGGGUCGAAGGCCCUCUCGCGGGGCUGCCCCGGUGGUACCGUGCCCAGCCAGCGGCGUGGAGGGUUGGGUCCCGCGCGGCGGAGGUCUGCGAACCCCGUCAGGUCCGGGAGGAAGCAGCGGUAAGCAGGAGCCUCUGGGUGACGCGGGAGUGCCUGGCCUGAGCCGGCUGAUGGGAAUGGGCCGUCGGUGGGGCCACAACAGAGGGGCACGA
This 263-nucleotide signal recognition particle RNA is filed under the name Chloroflexota bacterium. RNAcentral describes it as "Chloroflexi bacterium (oil production facility metagenome) signal recognition particle sRNA large type". It matches the Rfam family "Bacterial large signal recognition particle RNA". Rfam says of the family: The signal recognition particle (SRP) is a universally conserved ribonucleoprotein involved in the co-translational targeting of proteins to membranes. Archaeal SRP consists of a 7S RNA and homologues of the eukaryotic SRP19 and SRP54 proteins. The record is from RNAcentral. Lineage: Bacteria; Bacillati; Chloroflexota.